AGAAUCAACGCUGGCGGCGUGCCUAACACAUGCAAGUCGAACGAGAAAGUGGAGCAAUCCAUGAGUAAAGUGGCGACCGGGUGAGUAACACGUGACUAACCUACCUUCGAGUGGGGGAUAACCUCGGGAAACCGAGGCUAAUACCGCAUAACAUCGCAAGAUCAAAGGCAGCAAUGCGCUGGAAGAGGGGGUCGCGGCUGAUUAGCUAGUUGGCGGGUAACGGCCCACAAGGCGAAGAUCGGUA
Molecule: ribosomal RNA, 244 nt
Filed under: uncultured bacterium
Lineage: Bacteria
Description: partial small subunit ribosomal RNA
Rfam family: Bacterial small subunit ribosomal RNA
Source: RNAcentral